UACGUAGGGUGCGAGCGUUAAUCGGAUUUACUGGGCGUAAAGCGGGUGUAGGCGGCUCGGUAAGUCGGGUGUGAAAUCCCACAGCUCAACUGUGGAAUUGCGCCCGAAACUGCUGAGCUUGGGGCCGGUAGAGGGAGACGGAACUGCCGGUGUAGGGGUGAAAUCCGUAGAUAUCGGCAGGAACGCCGGUGGGGAAGCCGGUCUCCUGGGCCGCGCCCGACGCUGAGACCCGAAAGCUAGGGGAGCAAACCGG
RNAcentral lists this ribosomal RNA (253 nucleotides) under uncultured microorganism. Its description in RNAcentral is "partial 16S ribosomal RNA". It matches the Rfam family "Bacterial small subunit ribosomal RNA", at positions 524 to 776 of the family's 1533-position model. The record is from RNAcentral.